UAAAACAUGUUAUCCCAACUGCUGGAGUCCUAUUGGUUUGGUUCCUUGCUGGUUGAUCUCGAAUCAUUGGGGUCCGUGCUGGUGGGUUCUGACAUUCCCUAGCAUAGUGUCCCUUCUGAUUACACUUAUAACACACCACAUUCAAUCUAUUACAGAUUCCCCCGUGUUUCUUUCCACAUAUCUGGCACUCCGGCAGUGGAGGCCUUGGUUGAUUUCCAAUAGCUGGACGGUUACCUUGUCCACUACCACCUACAUCUGGCUUCUUAAAAGUGG
Molecule: long non-coding RNA, 273 nt
Filed under: Daucus carota (carrot)
Lineage: Eukaryota; Viridiplantae; Streptophyta; Magnoliopsida; Apiales; Apiaceae
Description: long non-coding RNA (DCAR_LNC002687)
Source: RNAcentral